UACGAAGGGGGCUAGCGUUGCUCGGAAUCACUGGGCGUAAAGGGUGCGUAGGCGGGUCUUUAAGUCAGGGGUGAAAUCCUGGAGCUCAACUCCAGAACUGCCUUUGAUACUGAGGAUCUUGAGGACGGGAGAGGUGAGUGGAACUGCGAGUGUAGAGGUGAAAUUCGUAGAUAUUCGCAAGAACACCAGUGGCGAAGGCGGCUCACUGGCCCGUAACUGACGCUGAGGCACGAAAGCGUGGGGAGCAAACAGG
Molecule: ribosomal RNA, 253 nt
Filed under: uncultured bacterium
Lineage: Bacteria
Description: partial 16S ribosomal RNA
Rfam family: Bacterial small subunit ribosomal RNA
Source: RNAcentral